Molecule: long non-coding RNA, 252 nt
Filed under: Phoenix dactylifera (date palm)
Lineage: Eukaryota; Viridiplantae; Streptophyta; Magnoliopsida; Arecales; Arecaceae
Description: long non-coding RNA (PDAC_LNC003394)
Source: RNAcentral
GAAAAUUUGUUGUUGAUAUGGGGAAUUGAGGGGAGGGGAAUCGAUGCAUUCCUUGGUGACGGGCAUGGACUGAUGGAGGUUGGCAGCAUCCGGUCCGGCCAUGGAAGGAGGUUUUGGUGAAUGGCGAUCAUCUGAUAAUGCUUGAUAGAGAAACGCAUGAAUGAGUAAGGAUUUGCCAGUCACAGCCCACUAAAUAAAGUUCCUAAUCUUUAAAAAAAAAAGAAGCAUGGGCUUCAGCUUAGUCAUCCCGAG